ACUCCUACGGGAGGCAGCAGUGGGGAAUUUUGGACAAUGGGGGAAACCCUGAUCCAGCCAUCCCGCGUGUAUGAUGAAGGCCUUCGGGUUGUAAAGUACUUUUGGCAGAGAAGAAAAGGUAUCUCCUAAUACGAGAUACUGCUGACGGUAUCUGCAGAAUAAGCACCGGCUAACUACGUGCCAGCAGCCGCGGUAAUACGUAGGGUGCAAGCGUUAAUCGGAAUUACUGGGCGUAAAGCGUGUGUAGGCGGUUCGGAAAGAAAGAUGUGAAAUCCCAGGGCUCAACCUUGGAACUGCAUUUUUAACUGCCGAGCUAGAGUAUGUCAGAGGGGGGUAGAAUUCCACGUGUAGCAGUGAAAUGCGUAGAUAUGUGGAGGAAUACCGAUGGCGAAGGCAGCCCCUGGAUAAGUACUGACGCUCAGACACGAAAGCGUGGGGAGCAAACAGGAUUAGAUACCCUGGUAGGCGUAGU
RNAcentral lists this ribosomal RNA (472 nucleotides) under uncultured bacterium. Its description in RNAcentral is "bacterial SSU rRNA". It matches the Rfam family "Bacterial small subunit ribosomal RNA", at positions 335 to 803 of the family's 1533-position model. The record is from RNAcentral.